GGAGAGGUGCCAGAGUGGCCAAUUGGGCUUGCUUGGAAAGCAAUGCGGGGUAAAACCCACGGGAGUUCGACUCUCCCUCUCUCCGCCA
RNAcentral lists this transfer RNA (88 nucleotides) under Planctomycetota bacterium. Its description in RNAcentral is "tRNA-Ser". It matches the Rfam family "tRNA". From Rfam's summary of the family: Transfer RNA (tRNA) molecules are approximately 80 nucleotides in length. Their secondary structure includes four short double-helical elements and three loops (D, anti-codon, and T loops). The record is from RNAcentral. Lineage: Bacteria; Pseudomonadati; Planctomycetota. RNAcentral also lists the same sequence under 1 other name.